This is a non-coding RNA of Burkholderia ubonensis, 106 nucleotides long. NCBI's taxonomy places the organism in Bacteria, Pseudomonadati, Pseudomonadota, Betaproteobacteria, Burkholderiales, Burkholderiaceae. The record is from Rfam.
CGCCUGAUGCCUGAAAGGGCGACGGUGACGAACCGGAGCGAGGUCUCAGCAGAGGUCAUAGUAGCCACAGGACAGGCCGGUGAGGCUGAAGCUGGUGGCGAAGGAC